UACGUAGGGGGCAAGCGUUGUCCGGAAUCAUUGGGCGUAAAGCGCGUGUAGGCGGCUUGGUAAGUCCGCUCUGAAAGCCCGGGGCUCAACCCCGGGAGGCGGGUGGAUACUGUCAGGCUCGAGUCCGGAAGAGGCGAGUGGAAUUCCUGGUGUAGCGGUGAAAUGCGCAGAUAUCAGGAGGAACACCAAUGGCGAAGGCAGCUCGCUGGGACGUGACUGACGCUGAGACGCGAAAGCGUGGGGAGCAAACAGG
This 253-nucleotide ribosomal RNA is filed under the name uncultured bacterium. RNAcentral's name for it is "partial 16S ribosomal RNA". It matches the Rfam family "Bacterial small subunit ribosomal RNA", at positions 524 to 776 of the family's 1533-position model. The record is from RNAcentral.